UUAGCCGACGGGGGGCAGCAGUGAGGAAUAUUGGUCAAUGGGCGCGAGCCUGAACCAGCCAAGUAGCGUGAAGGAUGACUGCCCUACGGGUUGUAAACUUCUUUUAUAAAGGAAUAAAGUGAGGCACGUGUGCCUUUUUGUAUGUACUUUAUGAAUAAGGAUCGGCUAACUCCGUGCCAGCAGCCGCGGUAAUACGGAGGAUCCGAGCGUUAUCCGGAUUUAUUGGGUUUAAAGGGUGCGCAGGCGGUCUGUUAAGUCAGCGGUCAAAGCCCGGGGCUCAACCCCGGCCCGCCGUUGAAACUGGG
This 305-nucleotide ribosomal RNA is filed under the name uncultured bacterium. Its description in RNAcentral is "bacterial SSU rRNA". It matches the Rfam family "Bacterial small subunit ribosomal RNA", at positions 334 to 637 of the family's 1533-position model. The record is from RNAcentral.